GGUUUUCGCACACGUAAGAGAAAAAAGAUUGCAUGGUGUGUGCUUUGAGGCCCUCUUCCAGGUGUAAAAUCUGAAUUCUUCAAUUUGAAAGCUUUCUAUGUGCUAGGAGGGAGGACAUGGUACCUGCUGCGGCGAGGAGACGGUUCAUGGAGCAGAACACACGUUCCUAAGGCCAGAAGCACACAGCACAAGAACACGCAUCUAAACAGCAAAGCGAAAGAGGUCAGGAAGCUGAAGCAGGACUAUGCAAGGAUUUGCCUUUUGGCGUGCUGGAGUUGUGCACUUCUUCCGUGGCGCCCGUGGCCCAUACAUCAGUCCUCAACUGAGG
Molecule: long non-coding RNA, 328 nt
Organism: Zalophus californianus (California sea lion)
Lineage: Eukaryota; Metazoa; Chordata; Mammalia; Carnivora; Otariidae
Exons: 3
Source: RefSeq, a predicted model, not a curated record